AUCCAUCAGUAGAGGACACACACUAAAGAAAACAAUAUGGAGAAUAUGCUCCAAGGUGUUUGGUCCUGUAGCCAAACAGCUGAACUGGUGUGGUAGGGGAGAAAAGCGAGGGAUCAGGAAAACAAACAUAGGAGCACUCGUAAUAGGAGCAGCUAUGAAGAAUCCCGUGCUUCCGUCGCCAACUGAAGCAGAGGCUGAAAAACACAUUAAGGAUUAUCUCCGCUUGGCCCCAGGGAGAAUGCCUUGUUAGUCAACUUGCUUUUUUGUUGUUUGUUUGUUUGGUUCAGGAUUAAAAUAAUAAUAAUAAUAAUAACGUAAACAACUGCUUAUUUUCAUUCACCGUUAAUUAAAGGAUACAGAUCAUUCAA
Molecule: long non-coding RNA, 368 nt
Organism: Carassius gibelio (silver crucian carp)
Lineage: Eukaryota; Metazoa; Chordata; Actinopteri; Cypriniformes; Cyprinidae
Exons: 2
Source: RefSeq, a predicted model, not a curated record